RNAcentral lists this non-coding RNA (91 nucleotides) under human gut metagenome. RNAcentral describes it as "Purine riboswitch". It matches the Rfam family "Purine riboswitch aptamer", at positions 6 to 96 of the family's 102-position model. From Rfam's summary of the family: Riboswitches are metabolite binding domains within certain messenger RNAs that serve as precision sensors for their corresponding targets. Allosteric rearrangement of mRNA structure is mediated by ligand binding, and this results in modulation of gene expression. The record is from RNAcentral.
AAAAACUCAUAAGGCUCGUAUAAAGUUGAGGAUAUGGCUCAGAUGUUUCUACCAGGUAACCGUAAAUUGCCUGACUACGGGUGAAAUUGUU